ACGGGAGGCAGCAGUGGGGAAUAUUGCACAAUGGGGGAAACCCUGAUGCAGCGACGCCGCGUGAGUGAAGAAGUAUUUCGGUAUGUAAAGCUCUAUCAGCAGGGAAGAAAAUGACGGUACCUGACUAAGAAGCCCCGGCUAACUACGUGCCAGCAGCCGCGGUAAUACGUAGGGGGCAAGCGUUAUCCGGAUUUACUGGGUGUAAAGGGAGCGUAGACGGCGAUGCAAGUCUGAUGUGAAAUCCAUGGGCUCAACUCAUGAACUGCAUUUGAAACUGUAUCUCUUGAGUGCUGGAGAGGUAGAUGGAAUUCCUUGUGUAGCGGUGAAAUGCGUAGAUAUAAGGAAGAACACCAGUGGCGAAGGCGAUCUACUGGACAGUAACUGACGCUGAGGCGCGAAAGCGUGGGGAGCAAACAGGAUUAGAUACCCUGGUA
RNAcentral lists this ribosomal RNA (434 nucleotides) under uncultured Clostridium sp. RNAcentral describes it as "partial 16S ribosomal RNA". It matches the Rfam family "Bacterial small subunit ribosomal RNA", at positions 341 to 792 of the family's 1533-position model. Lineage: Bacteria; Bacillati; Bacillota; Clostridia; Eubacteriales; Clostridiaceae. The record is from RNAcentral.